CCUACGGGAGGCAGCAGUGGGGAAUUUUGGACAAUGGGCGCAAGCCUGAUCCAGCCAUGCCGCGUGCGGGAAGAAGGCCUUCGGGUUGUAAACCGCUUUUGGCAGGAACGAAACGGCGACUCCUAAUACGAGUCGUUAAUGACGGUACCUGCAGAAUAAGCACCGGCUAACUACGUGCCAGCAGCCGCGGUAAUACGGAAGGUGCGAGCGUUAAUCGGAAUUACUGGGCGUAAAGCGCGCGUAGGUGGUUCGGUAAGUCGGGUGUGAAAGCCCUGGGCUCAACCUGGGAAUUGCAUUCGAUACUGUCGAGCUAGAGUGUGGUAGAGGGGGGUGGAAUUCCAGGUGUAGCGGUGAAAUACGUAGAUAUCUGGAGGAACACCAGUGGCGAAGGCGGCCCCCUGGACCAACACUGACACUGAGGUGCGAAAGCGUGGGUAGCAAACAGGAUUAGAUACCCUGGUAGUCCACGCGGUAAACGAUGAGAACUAGACGUCAGGCGGGUAUGACUGUUUGGUGUCGGAGCUAACGCGUUAAGUUCUCCGCCUGGGGAGUACGGCCGCAAGGUUGAAACUUAAAGGAAUUGACGG
This 587-nucleotide ribosomal RNA is filed under the name uncultured bacterium. RNAcentral describes it as "bacterial SSU rRNA". It matches the Rfam family "Bacterial small subunit ribosomal RNA", at positions 338 to 916 of the family's 1533-position model. The record is from RNAcentral.